UAGGGAAUCUUCCGCAAUGGACGAAAGUCUGACGGAGCAACGCCGCGUGAGUGAAGAAGGAUUUCGGUUCGUAAAACUCUGUUGUUAGGGAAGAAAAAAUGUAUAGUAACUAUAUACAAAAGAGACGGUACCUAACCAGAAAGCCACGGCUAACUACGUGCCAGCAGCCGCGGUAAUACGUAGGUGGCAAGCGUUGUCCGGAAUUUUUGGGCGUAAAGCGCGCGCAGGUGGUUUAGAAAGUCUGAUGUGAAAGCCCACGGCUCAACCGUGGAGAGUCAUUGGAAACUAAUAAACGUGAGUGCAGGAGAGAAAAGUGGAAUUCCUAGUGUAGCGGUGAAAUGCGUAGAGAUUAGGAGGAACACCGGUGGCGAAAGCGGCUUUUUGGCCUGCAACUGACGCUGAGGCGCGAAAGCGUGGGGAGCAAACAGG
This 429-nucleotide ribosomal RNA is filed under the name Verrucomicrobiota bacterium. RNAcentral's name for it is "Verrucomicrobia bacterium partial 16S ribosomal RNA". It matches the Rfam family "Bacterial small subunit ribosomal RNA", at positions 355 to 776 of the family's 1533-position model. Lineage: Bacteria; Pseudomonadati; Verrucomicrobiota. The record is from RNAcentral.